GAUGAACGCUGGCGGCGUGCCUAAUACAUGCAAGUCGAGCGAACAGACGAGGAGCUUGCUCCUCUGACGUUAGCGGCGGACGGGUGAGUAACACGUGGAUAACCUACCUAUAAGACUGGGAUAACUUCGGGAAACCGGAGCUAAUACCGGAUAAUAUAUUGAACCGCAUGGUUCAAUAGUGAAAGACGGUUUUGCUGUCACUUAUAGAUGGAUCCGCGCCGCAUUAGCUAGUUGGUAAGGUAACGGCUUACCAAGGCAACGAUGCGUAGCCGACCUGAGAGGGUGAUCGGCCACACUGGAACUAAGACACGGUCCACACUCCUACGGGAGGCAGCAGUAGGAAAUCUUCCGCAAUGGGCGAAAGCUUGACGGAGCAACGCCGCGUGAGUGAUGAAGGUCUGCGGAUCGUAAAACGCUGUUAUUAGGGAAGAACAAAUGUGUAAGUAACGAUGCACGUCUUGACGGUACCUAAUCAGAAAGCAACGGCUAACUACGU
Molecule: ribosomal RNA, 496 nt
Filed under: uncultured bacterium
Lineage: Bacteria
Description: partial 16S ribosomal RNA
Rfam family: Bacterial small subunit ribosomal RNA
Source: RNAcentral